This 29-nucleotide small RNA is filed under the name Bombyx mori (domestic silkworm). RNAcentral describes it as "ovarian small RNA-28839". The record is from RNAcentral. Lineage: Eukaryota; Metazoa; Arthropoda; Insecta; Lepidoptera; Bombycidae.
UCGCUGAAACAGUGGCUUAUGGGGGCGCC